This 862-nucleotide ribosomal RNA is filed under the name bioreactor metagenome. RNAcentral's name for it is "bacterial SSU rRNA". It matches the Rfam family "Bacterial small subunit ribosomal RNA", at positions 293 to 1153 of the family's 1533-position model. The record is from RNAcentral.
UUAACGAGUGGUCGCCACACUGGAUGAGAUACGGCCAGACUCCUACGGAGGCAGCAGUCGAGAAUAGUCUACAAUGGGGAACCUGAUAGUGCGACGCCGCGUGAACGAAGACUCCUUCGGGGUGUAAAGUUCUUUUCUAUGUGAGCAAUGAUAUUAAGAUGAAUAGUUUUAGUAUAGAGAUAUUAGCAUAGGAAUAAGCUCCGGCUAACUCCGUGCCAGCAGCCGCGGUAACACGGGGGGAGCAAGCGUUGUCCGGAAUUACUAGGCGUAAAGGGCAAGUAGGCGGAGAUGUAAGUCAGUGUUAAAGGCAUCGGCUCAACCGGUGUAAGGCAAUUGAUACUGCAUUUCUAGAGUAAGGUAGGAGAAGACGGAAUUCCUGGUGUAGCGGUGGAAUGCGCAGAUAUCAGGAGGAACACCGGUGGCGAAGGCGGUCUUCUAUGCCAUUACUGACGCUCAAUUGCGAAGGUGUGGGUAUCAAACAGGAUUAGAUACCUGGUAGUCCACACAGUAAACGAUAUGCACUAGAUGUUGGGAGAGAUAAUCUUUCAGUGUCGUAGCUAACGCGUUAAGUGCAUCGCCUGGGGAGUACGAUCGCAAGAUUAAAACUCAAAGGAAUUGACGGGGCCCCGCACAAGCGGUGGAGCAUGUGGUUUAAUUCGAUGCAACGCGAAGAACCUUACCUGGGCUUGACAUCCCGAGAAUUUUCCAGAGAUGGAGAAGUGCCUUUCGGGGAACUCGGAGACAGGUGCUGCAUGGCUGUCGUCAGCUCGUGUCGUGAGAUGUUGGGUUAAGUCCCGCAACGAGCGCAACCCCCUAUCUCUAGUUGCCAUCACGUAAUGGUGGGGACUCUAGAGAGACUGCC